Molecule: long non-coding RNA, 950 nt
Organism: Ailuropoda melanoleuca (giant panda)
Lineage: Eukaryota; Metazoa; Chordata; Mammalia; Carnivora; Ursidae
Exons: 3
Source: RefSeq, a predicted model, not a curated record
GUCAGACAGCAUCUAGGUCAUGAUAGGCUGUCAAGCUGGUUGUUACCUUUACUGCUCAGAAUCAGGAACAAAGUCCCUACUGGAUCCUAGUGAGGUAAAAGGCAUCCCAGGCCACCUCUGGGUUCAUCAUUCAGCCAACUUGUCAAGAAAAUGGUUGGAGCCAUUCCUGGCCCCUCAACAAAAACACUGAGCCAGUGAGCCAGUCUCAGUAGAUCCAGCAUGAGUCAGCUUUGUACUCUUCCCGUCUCGCUCCCUACGUUAGGAUGCGUGGCCAUCUUACCCUCCGGGUUGCUGUUGAUACGAAUCGGUUAUCACAAAACUCUGUUGGUGUGUACGACACCCCAUCACAUAUUUGGGACUUGUGGUCAAGAAGGAAGGAGAAAUGACGAAAACAGAUCUUACAAGGAUUAUCAGGCACUCACCCAACCAAUGAGGACCAUACGAUGAUGUGGUCAGUCACUGGACCGCCACAGUUUCAGCUGGUUGUCGCUCCUUUACUGACCUGUGCUGGGCAGAGCAGUGAAUUGAAGAUAAAGAGGUUGCAUCUGGAGUGUCUCUGAUCAUAGCCCGGGGGCGCAGGAGGAGCCCACCCAAGACUGCCGGGUGUUCUCUGGGCUUUCCUUGUGCCGGGCUUGUAUUGGGGUUGAACCCCAAAAGAAGGGGAUGGUCUGCGAACGGCCACAGACCGCGUCUAAGUUGUGACAGAGCACAAAUGCCGAGCUGCUUACUAAUGACCCGCAGGUGAACAGCGGGAGCGAGAUCACUUCCUGCCGCCAGUGUUUGGGGAAGGGACGGUAUUUCAAAGUCUGCUCUAAGAAGAUAAGACUUUCACACAGGUUUAAGGAGCAGACUUUUCCUUGACAGGAAUUCUGCGAGCAGCUGAGACACAGAGCAGGCCCGCUGCUGCAGGAUUGGGUGACUCCAGGCCUCAGAGCAUCUGUUUAGGGAAA